UACGUAGGUGGCAAGCGUUGUCCGGAAUUAUUGGGCGUAAAGCGCGCGCAGGCGGCCUCUUAAGUCUGAUGUGAAAGCCCCCGGCUCAACCGGGGAGGGCCAUUGGAAACUGGGAGGCUUGAGUAUAGGAGAGAAGAGUGGAAUUCCACGUGUAGCGGUGAAAUGCGUAGAGAUGUGGAGGAGCACCAGUGGCGAAGGCGACUCUUUGGCCUAUAACUGACGCUGAGGCGCGAAAGCGUGGGGAGCAAACAGG
Molecule: ribosomal RNA, 253 nt
Filed under: uncultured bacterium
Lineage: Bacteria
Description: partial 16S ribosomal RNA
Rfam family: Bacterial small subunit ribosomal RNA
Source: RNAcentral